GUCUAUGGCCAUGCCACCCUGAAUGAGCCUGAUGUCUGAUCUCAGAAGCUAAGCAGGGUCAGGCCUGGUUAGUACUUGGAUGGGAGACCACCUAGGAAGGCCAAGUGCUGUAGGCA
Molecule: ribosomal RNA, 116 nt
Filed under: Pteropus alecto (black flying fox)
Lineage: Eukaryota; Metazoa; Chordata; Mammalia; Chiroptera; Pteropodidae
Source: RNAcentral